AUACGUAGGGGGCGAGCGUUGUCCGGAAUGAUUGGGCGUAAAGGGCGCGUAGGCGGCCCGGUAAGUCUGGAGUGAAAGUCCUGCUUUUAAGGUGGGAAUUGCUUUGGAUACUGUCGGGCUUGAGUGCAGGAGAGGUAAGUGGAAUUCCCAGUGUAGCGGUGAAAUGCGUAGAGAUUGGGAGGAACACCAGUGGCGAAGGCGACUUACUGGACUGGAACGGACGCUGAGGCGCGAAAGUGUUGGGAGCAAACAGGAUUAGAUUCCCUGGUUGUCCACCCCGGAAACGAUGAGUAUUAGGUGUCGGGGGUUUCCCCCCUCGGUGCCGCAGUUAACGCAAUAAAUACUCCGCCUGGGGAGUACGCACGCAAGUGUGAAACUCAAAGGAAUUGACGGGG
This 395-nucleotide ribosomal RNA is filed under the name uncultured bacterium. RNAcentral's name for it is "partial 16S ribosomal RNA". It matches the Rfam family "Bacterial small subunit ribosomal RNA", at positions 523 to 918 of the family's 1533-position model. The record is from RNAcentral.